UACGUAGGGUCCGAGCGUUGUCCGGAAUUAUUGGGCGUAAAGAGCUCGUAGGCGGUUUGUCGCGUCUGCUGUGAAAUCCCGAGGCUCAACCUCGGGCCUGCAGUGGGUACGGGCAGACUGGAGUGCGGUAGGGGAGAAUGGAAUUCCUGGUGUAGCGGUGGAAUGCGCAGAUAUCAGGAGGAACACCGGUGGCGAAGGCGGCUCUCUGGGACGGUACUGACGCUGAGACGCGAAAGCGUGGGGAGCGAACAGG
This 253-nucleotide ribosomal RNA is filed under the name uncultured bacterium. RNAcentral describes it as "partial 16S ribosomal RNA". It matches the Rfam family "Bacterial small subunit ribosomal RNA", at positions 524 to 776 of the family's 1533-position model. The record is from RNAcentral.